This 497-nucleotide ribosomal RNA is filed under the name uncultured bacterium. RNAcentral describes it as "partial 16S ribosomal RNA". It matches the Rfam family "Bacterial small subunit ribosomal RNA", at positions 28 to 507 of the family's 1533-position model. The record is from RNAcentral.
GAUGAACGCUGGCGGCGUGCCUAAUACAUGCAAGUCGAGCGAACAGAUAAGGUGCUUGCUCCUUUGACGUUAGCGGCGGACGGGUGAGUAACACGUGGGUAACCUACCUAUAGGACUGGGAUAACUUCGGGAAACCGGAGCUAAUACCGGAUAAUAUUUCGAACCGCAUGGUUCGAUAGUGAAAGAUGGUUUUGCUAUCACUUAUAGAUGGACCCGCGCCGUAUUAGCUAGUUGGUAAGGUAACGGCUUACCAAGGCGACGAUACGUAGCCGACCUGAGAGGGUGAUCGGCCACACUGGAACUGAGACACGGUCCAGACUCCUACGGGAGGCAGCAGUAGGGAAUCUUCCGCAAUGGGCGAAAGCCUGACGGAGCAACGCCGCGUGAGUGAUGAAGGUCUUCGGAUCGUAAAACUCUGUUAUUAGGGAAGAACAUACGUGUAAGUAACUGUGCACGUCUUGACGGUACCUAAUCAGAAAGCCACGGCUAACUACGUG